ACAUGCAAGUCGAACGGCAGCAGCAGAGCUUGCUCUGGCUGGCGAGUGGCGGACGGGUGAGUAACGCGUAGGAAUAUGCCCAGUAGCGGGGGAUAGCCCGGGGAAACUCGGAUUAAUACCGCAUACGCCCUACGGGGGAAAGCGGGGGAUCUUCGGACCUCGCACUAUUGGAGUAGCCUGCGUUGGAUUAGCUUGUUGGUGGGGUAAAAGCCUACCAAGGCGACGAUCCAUAGCUGGUCUGAGAGGACGAUCAGCCACACUGGAACUGAGACACGGUCCAGACUCCUACGGGAGGCAGCAGUAGGGAAUCUUGUGCAGUGGGGGAAACCCUGACACAGCCAUGCCGCGUGUGUGAAGA
This 358-nucleotide ribosomal RNA is filed under the name uncultured bacterium. RNAcentral's name for it is "bacterial SSU rRNA". It matches the Rfam family "Bacterial small subunit ribosomal RNA", at positions 53 to 411 of the family's 1533-position model. The record is from RNAcentral.